RNAcentral lists this ribosomal RNA (487 nucleotides) under uncultured bacterium. Its description in RNAcentral is "bacterial SSU rRNA". It matches the Rfam family "Bacterial small subunit ribosomal RNA", at positions 501 to 987 of the family's 1533-position model. The record is from RNAcentral.
CUACGUGCCAGCAGCCGCGGUAAUACGUAGGGUGCGAGCGUUAAUCGGAAUUACUGGGCGUAAAGCGAGCGCAGACGGUUACUUAAGCAGGAUGUGAAAUCCCCGGGCUCAACCUGGGAACUGCGUUCUGAACUGGGUGACUAGAGUGUGUUAGAGGGAGGUAGAAUUCCACGUGUAGCAGUGAAAUGCGUAGAGAUGUGGAGGAAUACCGAUGGCGAAGGCAGCCUCCUGGGAUAACACUGACGUUCAUGCUCGAAAGCGUGGGUAGCAAACAGGAUUAGAUACCCUGGUAGUCCACGCCCUAAACGAUGUCAAUUAGCUGUUGGGCAGCAUGACUGCUUAGUAGCGAAGCUAACGCGUGAAAUCGACCGCCUGGGGAGUACGGUCGCAAGAUUAAAACUCAAAGGAAUUGACGGGGACCCGCMCAAGCGGUGGAUGAUGUGGAUUAAUUCGAUGCAACGCGAAGAACCUUACCUGGUUUUGACAU